RNAcentral lists this ribosomal RNA (484 nucleotides) under uncultured bacterium. RNAcentral describes it as "partial 16S ribosomal RNA". It matches the Rfam family "Bacterial small subunit ribosomal RNA", at positions 30 to 507 of the family's 1533-position model. The record is from RNAcentral.
AUUGAACGCUGGCGGCAGGCCUAACACAUGCAAGUCGAGCGGAUGAAGGGAGCUUGCUCCUGGAUUCAGCGGCGGACGGGUGAGUAAUGCCUAGGAAUCUGCCUGGUAGUGGGGGAUAACGUCCGGAAACGGGCGCUAAUACCGCAUACGUCCUGAGGGAGAAAGUGGGGGAUCUUCGGACCUCACGCUAUCAGAUGAGCCUAGGUCGGAUUAGCUAGUUGGUGGGGUAAAGGCCUACCAAGGCGACGAUCCGUAACUGGUCUGAGAGGAUAAUCAGUCACACUGGAACUGAGACACGGUCCAGACUCCUACGGGAGACAGCAGUGGGGAAUAUUGGACAAUGGGCGAAAGCCUGAUCCAGCCAUGCCGCGUGUGUGAAGAAGGUCUUCGGAUUGUAAAGCACUUUAAGUUGGGAGGAAGGGCAGUAAGUUAAUACCUUGCUGUUUUGACGUUACCAACAGAAUAAGCACCGGCUAACUUCGUG